UAGCUGACGAUGUUGAAAUAUUCUUUCUU
This 29-nucleotide non-coding RNA is filed under the name Rattus norvegicus (Norway rat). Lineage: Eukaryota; Metazoa; Chordata; Mammalia; Rodentia; Muridae. The record is from RNAcentral.